Long non-coding RNA from Hibiscus syriacus, 259 nucleotides. RefSeq lists it as uncharacterized. NCBI's taxonomy places the organism in Eukaryota, Viridiplantae, Streptophyta, Magnoliopsida, Malvales, Malvaceae. The record is from RefSeq and is a predicted model, not a curated record. The transcript is spliced from 3 exons.
GAUGAGUUUGGAGAAGAAUGUAAUAGGAUUCUUCAUCAGGAUUUCAAGCCAGUAAACAUGGGAGACAACUGGGGAGUUCAAGGCAAUCGAAUGGUGCCGGCGGUGCAAGACAACAAUCACAAGGUUGUUCGGUAUUCAGUAGAAGAAAGGAAAGACAGAAUUCUUAGAUAUUUGAAGAAGAGAAACCAAAGAAAUUUUAACAAGACAAUUAAGUAUGCAUGUCGAAAAGCACUGGCUGACAGAAGGGUUAGAGUCCGAG